RNAcentral lists this long non-coding RNA (134 nucleotides) under Fukomys damarensis (Damara mole-rat). RNAcentral describes it as "lncRNA (ENSFDAG00000027198.1)". Lineage: Eukaryota; Metazoa; Chordata; Mammalia; Rodentia; Bathyergidae. The record is from RNAcentral.
GAAAAUGAAAUAAUGUAUAUGCAAAAGCACAGGGGAAGCUGCCCUGCAAGGCGAAGACCUGCCUGAUACACUUAUCACCUGAACCUGUGGCAAGUGAUUUUCUCUUCCUUUAUCAUGUCACCUUCCAGCCCCAU